CUUGUUUAUUAGGUUUUUAGUUUGUGAUGUUUCAUGUGAUGAUCAUUUUCAUGUUCAUCGUCCUUGAAUUGACAUGAGGAUAUCUAUGGAAAAGUAACUAAUCUGAAAGUAAGCCAACAUAUCGUUUGUCAUUUGUGUGCUAAAGAAAAGAUUUUCUUUUCGCAUCAUGAGGAAGUAUUACAUCAAUUAAAAAAUGUUAGGAAGUUGAUUACUUGUCAUGGAAAAGUAUACCAAUGGAAAUUAUUUGUUAAAGAAGUAUAAUUCUAACGGUAAAUUUUAUUAUAAUUAGUAAGCUGUCUAUUUUUUAUACGUAGAUGUUUCAGGUUUUAAGAAUAAAUUGGUUGAACCCAAAAUCUGGAGGAAGUACCUAUAUCCAUACACAGAAUAUGCCCAUUAAAAAUACUAGUCCAAAUUUGCUUUAAUGGAACGAUUAGGGCCCGAUAUAUUUGAAACUCAUGUUGGACAUAGUAUUGAGUUGGGUAGAAUAUUAUUCUACGUUAAGUGAGGGUAUCAGAUACCUAUUAUUGUACUGUAUUUUAAUAUAUACAUUAGAAUUGUUGGUUUUUU
This is a long non-coding RNA of Sitophilus oryzae (rice weevil), 567 nucleotides long. RefSeq lists it as uncharacterized. The record is from RefSeq and is a predicted model, not a curated record. NCBI's taxonomy places the organism in Eukaryota, Metazoa, Arthropoda, Insecta, Coleoptera, Curculionidae. The transcript is spliced from 2 exons.